GGUAAUGUAGCUUAGUGGUUGAGUGCUUGCCUAGCACGCAUGAAGCCCUGGGUUUGAUUCCUCAGUACCA
Non-coding RNA from Dipodomys ordii (Ord's kangaroo rat), 70 nucleotides. The record is from Rfam. Lineage: Eukaryota; Metazoa; Chordata; Mammalia; Rodentia; Heteromyidae.